UACAGAGGAGCCAAGCGUUGUCCGGAUUGACUGGGCGUAAAGCGCACGCAGGCGGAUGCGCGCGUGGGGUGUGAAAUCUGGCCGCUUAACGGCCAGGCGCCAUCCCAUACGGCGCGUCUGGAGUGAUGCAGAGGUCGAUGGAAUUGCCGGUGUAGUGGUGAAAUGCGUAGAGAUCGGCAGGAACACCCAGGGGGAAACCAGCCGACUGGGCAUCUACUGACGCUGAGGUGCGAGAACGUGGGGAGCGAACCGG
RNAcentral lists this ribosomal RNA (253 nucleotides) under uncultured bacterium. RNAcentral describes it as "partial 16S ribosomal RNA". It matches the Rfam family "Bacterial small subunit ribosomal RNA", at positions 524 to 776 of the family's 1533-position model. The record is from RNAcentral.